RNAcentral lists this transfer RNA (82 nucleotides) under Planctomycetaceae bacterium. Its description in RNAcentral is "tRNA-Tyr". It matches the Rfam family "tRNA". Rfam says of the family: Transfer RNA (tRNA) molecules are approximately 80 nucleotides in length. Their secondary structure includes four short double-helical elements and three loops (D, anti-codon, and T loops). The record is from RNAcentral. RNAcentral also lists the same sequence under 1 other name. Lineage: Bacteria; Pseudomonadati; Planctomycetota; Planctomycetia; Planctomycetales; Planctomycetaceae.
GGGUGGAUACUCAAGCGGCAAAGAGGGCAGACUGUAAAUCUGCUGGCGUACGCCUUCGGGGGUUCGAGUCCCUCUCCGCCCA